GUGCCAGCCGCCGCGGUAAUACGUAGGCAGCGAGCGUUGUUCGGAAUUACUGGGCGUAAAGAGUGUGUAGGCGGUGCUCUAAGUCUGUCGUGAAAUCUCCCGGCUUAACUGGGAGGGUGCGGCGGAAACUGGUGUGCUCGAGGGUGGGAGAGGUAAGCGGAAUUCCUGGUGUAGCGGUGAAAUGCGUAGAUAUCAGGAGGAACACCUGCGGUGUAGACAGCUUACUGGACCACUUCUGACGCUGAGACACGAAAGCGUGGGUAGCAAACAGGAUUAGAAACCCGCGUAGUCC
This 292-nucleotide ribosomal RNA is filed under the name uncultured bacterium. Its description in RNAcentral is "partial 16S ribosomal RNA". It matches the Rfam family "Bacterial small subunit ribosomal RNA", at positions 505 to 796 of the family's 1533-position model. The record is from RNAcentral.